GACGAACGCUGGCGGCGUGCUUAACACAUGCAAGUCGAACGGAAAGGCCCUGCUUUUGUGGGGUGCUCGAGUGGCGAACGGGUGAGUAACACGUGAGUAAUCUGCCCUUGACUUUGGGAUAACUUCAGGAAACUGGGGCUAAUACCGGAUAGGAGCUCCUGCUGCAUGGUGGGGGUUGGAAAGUUUCGGCGGUUGGGGAUGGACUCGCGGCUUAUCAGCUUGUUGGUGGGGUAGUGGCUUACCAAGGCUUUGACGGGUAGCCGGCCUGAGAGGGUGACCGGCCACAUUGGGACUGAGAUACGGCCCAGACUCCUACGGGAGGCAGCAGUGGGGAAUAUUGCACAAUGGGCGGAAGCCUGAUGCAGCAACGCCGCGUGCGGGAUGACGGCCUUCGGGUUGUAAACCGCUUUCGCCUGUGACGAAGCGUGAGUGACGGUAAUGGGUAAAGAAGCACCGGCUAACUACGU
RNAcentral lists this ribosomal RNA (467 nucleotides) under uncultured bacterium. RNAcentral describes it as "partial 16S ribosomal RNA". It matches the Rfam family "Bacterial small subunit ribosomal RNA", at positions 28 to 506 of the family's 1533-position model. The record is from RNAcentral.